UACGUAGGGGCUAGCGUUAUCCGGAAUUACUGGGCGUAAAGGGUGCGUAGGCGGUCUUUCAAGCCAGAAGUGAAAGGCUACGGCUCAACCGUAGUAAGCUUUUGGAACUGUAAGACUUGAGUGCAGGAGAGGAGAAUGGAAUUCCUAGUGUAGCGGUGAAAUGCGUAGAGAUUAGGAAGAACACCAGUGGCGAAGGCGGCCUUCUGGACUGUAACUGACACUGAGGCACGAAAGCGUGGGGAGCAAACAGGAUUAGAUACCCGGGUAGUCCCUGAG
Molecule: ribosomal RNA, 276 nt
Filed under: uncultured prokaryote
Description: partial 16S ribosomal RNA
Rfam family: Bacterial small subunit ribosomal RNA
Source: RNAcentral